This 301-nucleotide ribosomal RNA is filed under the name uncultured bacterium. RNAcentral describes it as "partial 16S ribosomal RNA". It matches the Rfam family "Bacterial small subunit ribosomal RNA", at positions 509 to 809 of the family's 1533-position model. The record is from RNAcentral.
CAGUAGCCGCGGGAAUACGAAGGGGGCUAGCGUUGUUCGGAUUUACUGGGCGUAAAGCGCACGUAGGCGGAUCGAUCAGUCAGGGGUGAAAUCCUGGAGCUCAACUCCAGAACUGCCUUUGAUACUGUCGAUCUCGAGUCCGGAAGAGGUGAGUGGAACUCCUAGUGUAGAGGUGGAAUUCGUAGAUAUUAGGAAGAACACCAGUGGCGGAGGCGGCUCACUGGUCCGGUACUGACGCUGAGGUGCGAAAGCGUGGGGAGCAAACAGGAUUAGAUACCCCCGUAGUCCCUGUCUCUUAUAU